AAAUUGAAGAGUUUGAUCAUGGCUCAGAUUGAACGCUGGCGGCAGGCCUAACACAUGCAAGUCGAACGGUAACAGGAAGCAGCUUGCUGCUUCGCUGACGAGUGGCGGACGGGUGAGUAAUGUCUGGGAAACUGCCUGAUGGAGGGGGAUAACUACUGGAAACGGUGGCUAAUACCGCAUAACGUCGCAAGACCAAAGAGGGGGACCUUCGGGCCUCUUGCCAUCAGAUGUGCCCAGAUGGGAUUAGCUUGUUGGUGAGGUAACGGCUCACCAAGGCGACGAUCCCUAGCUGGUCUGAGAGGAUGACCAGCCACACUGGAACUGAGACACGGUCCAGACUCCUACGGGAGGCAGCAGUGGGGAAUAUUGCACAAUGGGCGCAAGCCUGAUGCAGCCAUGCCGCGUGUAUGAAGAAGGCCUUCGGGUUGUAAAGUACUUUCAGCGGGGAGGAAGGUGUUGCGGUUAAUAACCGCAGCAAUUGACGUUACCCGCAGAAGAAGCACCGGCUAACUCCGUGCCAGCAGCCGCGGUAAUACGGAGGGUGCAAGCGUUAAUCGGAAUUACUGGGCGUAAAGCGCACGCAGGCGGUCUGUCAAGUCGGAUGUGAAAUCCCCGGGCUCAACCUGGGAACUGCAUUCGAAACUGGCAGGCUUGAGUCUUGUAGA
This 665-nucleotide ribosomal RNA is filed under the name Salmonella enterica. RNAcentral's name for it is "bacterial SSU rRNA". It matches the Rfam family "Bacterial small subunit ribosomal RNA", at positions 1 to 655 of the family's 1533-position model. Lineage: Bacteria; Pseudomonadati; Pseudomonadota; Gammaproteobacteria; Enterobacterales; Enterobacteriaceae. The record is from RNAcentral.